CCUACGGGAGGCAGCAGUGAGGAAUAUUGGUCAAUGGGCUCGCGCCUGAACCAGCCAAGUAGCGUGAAGGAUGACUGCCCUACGGGUUGUAAACUUCUUUUAUAAAGGAAUAAAGUGAGCCACGUGUGCCUUUUUGUAUGUACUUUAUGAAUAAGGCUCGGCUAACUCCGUUCCAGCAGCCGCGGUAAUACGGAGGAUCCGAGCGUUAUCCGGAUUUAUUGGGUUUAAAGGGAGCGUAGAUGGGUUGUUAAGUCAGUUGUGAAAGUUUGCGGAUCAACCGUAAAAUUGCAAUUGAUACUGGCAGUCUUGAGUACAGUUGAGGUAGGCGGAAUUCGUGGUGUAGCGGUGAAAUGCUUAGAUAUCACGAAGAACUCCGAUUGCGAAGGCAGCCUACUAGACUGCAACUGACAUUGAUGCUCGAAAGUGUGGGUAUCAAACAGGAUUAGAUACCCGGGUAGUC
This 460-nucleotide ribosomal RNA is filed under the name uncultured bacterium. RNAcentral describes it as "partial 16S ribosomal RNA". It matches the Rfam family "Bacterial small subunit ribosomal RNA", at positions 338 to 795 of the family's 1533-position model. The record is from RNAcentral.